CCUUGGUGGACGCCUCACAAAACGGCGAGACUCGGCAGCUCUCUCUUUCCUCGGGUAUAUAAGGUCACCUGAUUGUCGGCACUGCACACACAUUCACUCCACUGGUCGGUGACCAACAAGCCUCUCCACGCUUCUUAGCCAGCGAAACGCUCCCUCAAGCCGUUCAAGGAUGAACUUUGUACGCGUGCUGUCAGUCCUGAUGGUGGUGGUGGUCCUGAUGUCCACCGUCUCUGAGGCGGGGCCUCUCCUCCGCAACAGAGGAAGAGGUAGCUUUGGCAGAGGACGCGGCGUGGCCAACGGCAUCAGCCCCAUAUACGGGGACACGUACGCCAACUUCGCCACCGGUAACUCCCUCGUUCCCGGAGUCUUCAACCAGCUGGGCCUCAUCAACUUUUGAGGAUGAAGUGCAGCCGUAGGACGACAUAAGAAGUCAACCAGAGGCCCGCGCCGCCGCCGCCGAAGUUGACGCUCGGCGGCUGGAAAGCCUGACUUCUGGCCCAGCGGGACCCAACGUGCUCCGCGUCCAGUCGCGAGCUACUACAUACCUCGUCGCCGUGACGAGCGUCAGUGGUGGUCACAUCAACAGGGCCUAUAAUAAUUCGCAACCCAGGCAAGAAGUGUUACAGAGUCGGGAGAAAAGUCCACAGGUUGUCUCCCGCCUGGUGACGUGACGAGGCCUAGAGUGUGAGGCUGUUUGUGUGUUUUAUGGUAGAGUCAGAGAAGUCGCUCAUAGCGAGUCUUGCUUCGCUCAUCCAAUUGUUUCCGGUGACAGUGUAGAGCUGUGGUCACAUCAGCUGACAUUGUGAUGUACAUACUGCAUCAGUUAGUCCACGCCCACCAGUUGGGCUCCAGUCCAUACGAUCAACAGCUUAUUUUGUCUUUAAAUACACAUGUACUUUUUUUGUUAAUAUUUAUUUGAGGCUCUGUCCAGUUUUAUUGCAAUAAUAUAUAUUGUCAAAGCUCCAUAUCUCAAUAAUGUUUAACACUGUUACAUUGUACUUAUCAUGUAAUUUCUGUUUCAUUAACAUGUCUCCCUGAUAAUCAAAUGAACAACAUGCAACAAUUCAACA
Scylla paramamosain (green mud crab) is the source of this 1070-nucleotide long non-coding RNA. RefSeq lists it as uncharacterized. The record is from RefSeq and is a predicted model, not a curated record. The transcript is spliced from 2 exons. NCBI's taxonomy places the organism in Eukaryota, Metazoa, Arthropoda, Malacostraca, Decapoda, Portunidae.